This 85-nucleotide transfer RNA is filed under the name Devosia sp. RNAcentral describes it as "tRNA-Leu". It matches the Rfam family "tRNA". Rfam says of the family: Transfer RNA (tRNA) molecules are approximately 80 nucleotides in length. Lineage: Bacteria; Pseudomonadati; Pseudomonadota; Alphaproteobacteria; Hyphomicrobiales; Devosiaceae. The record is from RNAcentral. RNAcentral also lists the same sequence under 2 other names.
GCCCCUGUGGUGGAAUUGGUAGACGCAGAGGACUCAAAAUCCUCCGCCGCGAGGCAUGUCGGUUCGAGUCCGACCGGGGGCACCA